CUUAUAGUCUGAGCCCCUCUCGGUUGAGGCCUGUCUGCAGAAUCCGCACCAACCGGCACCAUGCCCAUGACACUGGGAUACUGGGACAUCCGCGGGCUCCUGACUAUGACAGAAGCCAGUGGCUGAAUGAAAAAUUCAAGCUGGGCCUGGACUUUCCCAAUCUGCCCUACUUGAUUGAUGGGACUCACAAGAUCACCCAGAGCAACGCCAUCCUGUGCUACAUUGCCCGCAAGCACAACCUGUGUGGGGAGACAGAAGAGGAGAAGAUUCGUGUGGACAUUUUGGAGAACCAGACCAUGGACAACCAUAUGCAGCUGGGCAUGAUCUGCUACAACCCAGAAUUUUGUUGCAGGAAUUCAGGGACCCUGAAUGGAGGGACCGGCUGGAGCUGCAGCAGAGGAACAUAAAUUGCAAAUAUUUCAUUUUAACAUGGACAUUUAUCAAUUCCCAAAUUAAUACAUUUAUAAUUUCUUAUGCCUGUCUUUAAUCUCUUAAUCCUGUUAUCUUCAUAAGCUGAGGAUAUACGUCACCUCAGGACCACUGUGAUAAUUGUGUUAACUGUACAAAUUGAUUGUAAAACGUGUGUUUGAACAAUAUGAAAUCAGUGCACCUUGAAAAAGAACAGAAUAACAGCGAUUUUUAGGGAACAAGGGAAGACAGCCAUAAGGUCUGACUGCCCGCAGGGUUGGGCAAAAUACAGCCAUAUUUUUCUUCUUGCAGAGAGCCUAUAAAUCGACACGCAAGUAGGGAAGAUAUU
RNAcentral lists this small RNA (757 nucleotides) under Pongo abelii (Sumatran orangutan). RNAcentral describes it as "processed transcript". Lineage: Eukaryota; Metazoa; Chordata; Mammalia; Primates; Hominidae. The record is from RNAcentral.